AAGCCUGAUCCAGCCAUGCCGCGUGAGUGAAGAAGUGCCUUCGGGUGUGUAAAGCUCUUUCGCAAGGAAAGAAAACUUAUUCGCUAAUACCGGGUGAGGAUGACGGUACCUUGAUAAGAAGCACCGGCUAACUACGUGCCAGCAGCCGCGGUAAUACGUAGGGUGCGAGCGUUAAUCGGAAUUACUGGGCGUAAAGCGAGAACCCCGGCCGGUUUGGUAAGUCAGAUGUGAAAGCCCCGGGCUCAACCUGGGAACUGCGUUUGAAACUGCAAGGCUAGAGUAUGGGAGAGGGGGGUAGAAUUCCACGUGUAGCAGUGAAAUGCGUAGAGAUGUGGAGGAAUACCAAUGGCGAAGGCAGCCCCCUGGCCUAAUACUGACGCUCAUGCUCGAAAGCGUGGGGAGCAAACAGGAUUAGAUACCCUGGUAGUCCACGCCCUAAACGAUGUCUACUAGUUGUAGGUGGAGUAAAAUCCAUGAGUAACGCAGCUAACGCGUGAAGUAGACCGCCUGGGGA
RNAcentral lists this ribosomal RNA (514 nucleotides) under Methylovorus sp. enrichment culture clone VMA61. RNAcentral describes it as "bacterial SSU rRNA". It matches the Rfam family "Bacterial small subunit ribosomal RNA", at positions 379 to 879 of the family's 1533-position model. The record is from RNAcentral. Lineage: Bacteria; Pseudomonadati; Pseudomonadota; Betaproteobacteria; Nitrosomonadales; Methylophilaceae.